RNAcentral lists this ribosomal RNA (253 nucleotides) under uncultured bacterium. Its description in RNAcentral is "partial 16S ribosomal RNA". It matches the Rfam family "Bacterial small subunit ribosomal RNA", at positions 524 to 776 of the family's 1533-position model. The record is from RNAcentral.
UACGUAGGGGGCACGCGUUGUCCGGAAUCAUUGGGCGUAAAGAGCGUGUAGGCGGCUCGAUAAGUCUGCUGUGAAAGUCCAGGGCUCAACCCUGGAAGGCCGGUGGAAACUGUCGGGCUAGAGUCCGGAAGAGGCGAGUGGAAUUCCCGGUGUAGCGGUGAAAUGCGCAGAUAUCAGGAAGAACACCUAUGGCGAAAGCAGCUCUCUGGGACGGUACUGACGCUGAGACGCGAAAGCGUGGGGAGCGAACAGG